UUUUGAGAUCAUCUUUCUUGGAUUUCUUUCUUUCAACGAUUACUCCAAUGGCCAAACAAAACCUAAAGAUUUCUCAGCUUUCUGCUGCAAUUCUGUUUAUCUGCUUCUUCAUUUGCCAACUUUCACCAGCCACCUGCAGAACCCUCAAGGGAGCCUUUCCGGGAGAAGAAAACAUCAUAAAUUCAGACAAGAACAUCGGACGGGGCGCCCCGAUCGCCAGCAACGGUACAAAAGAGAUAGAGAAAACGAGUACAGAAUUUCAUGCAACAAGGAAGAAUGGAGAAGCUGCAUAUGGACCAUUGCUUAUGGCUAUGCUUCCCAAAGGAAAUGUGCCAGCCUCGGGACCGAGCAAAAAAAUCAACAAAAUCAACAAUUAGCAAAAUUGAGAUAAGGGUGCGUUUGGAUCCAUGCAUGUUUUGAAUCUCUAUUUGUUUAUUCUUCAUAAAGAAAUGUAUAUAUAAUAGAUUACUGAGGUAUGAGGGAUAAUUCGGAGCUGAUCAAGUUUCUUGUUUAGUUAUUUGAAACGAGCACGUUUGGCUUAGGAAAAGAAAAGAAGCAAAAGUACUUAUAAGUAAAAUUUUAUAAGCUAGCCAACAUAUGUGAGAACAUGGAUUUAUGAGUAAUUUUUACAUUUUUG
This 637-nucleotide long non-coding RNA is filed under the name Olea europaea (common olive). RNAcentral describes it as "long non-coding RNA (OEUR_LNC000313)". The record is from RNAcentral. Lineage: Eukaryota; Viridiplantae; Streptophyta; Magnoliopsida; Lamiales; Oleaceae.